UUGCAGCGGAAUCAUGCCCCUCGCUCUUCAUUUCUCCAUCCCUCCUUCCCUCUUCCACCCUCUCUCUCCUUCCCAUGCUCUCACUCUGACAUAUCAAAUAGGCUACACGCAAUUACGCCAUCUAUCAAACCUCCCAGAUGUUCUAAUCAACAGCGCCACACGGAACGCGCACAAGCACCAGACCCAGGAUUCGAACCAGCCACAACUCCUUAGCCGCUGGCCUACCAACCCACUUGACUGGUUCCAGAGAAGAACGAAAAAAGGAGGGAAAAAAUGCACCCAAAUGCACGCUUCCUGUCCAGGUCUGCCCUUUGUGCUGAGAGCACCGGGUUCUUUCUCUGUUUGGACUCCCUAACAUUGUGCCAAAGACACACCGGACGAGAACUACAGCAUAUUCAGUCUCUAUUGUCCUCAGACUCCGACAUGUAUUUGAUGUAUUAUGAUACGCCAUCUCUUAGCUAGUUUUUGUUCCACAACCCAGAGAGAUAGGCGUAGCCCAUAGAAUGAAAACAUAACCGUACACUGACGGGGUGGUUUGACCGUCAGUGCUGGUGCUCUUCGCAGCGUACAGGUGUGCUGUUCCGGUGUUUCACCUGCAGGUUGCAGCAUUGUUCCUGGAAACGGUCUCAAACCUGUCACCUGGACCAUGCAGACUGCGUUUUUCUGGUUGCGUUUACACAGCCAGCCCAAUUAUACCUUUUUAAUAAUCAGAGCAGCGCGGAAAAAUAUCUGAUGCGAAAAGAUCUGGUAUGAUUGGUCAAAAGACCAGUUAGUGGGUAAAAUAUCCGAAUUGGGCUGCCUGUGUAAACGCAUCUUCUGAGGCAUCAGGAUCGUACAAGUGUCACCUGUAACGUGAUUUUUGUUAGCCUACCAUAGGCCUAUGCAUCAAUGUGCAUGAUUGAGGAGGACGGACAGGUAGCCUAAUAUCUUAUGACGUCAAAAUAUGUGUCCACUUGCAUUGCAGGCCUAUUUGUAGAAACAUGUAAGGCCUAAAUAAGAAUGUUCUCCAUUAUUUUAGAUUUCCUUUGCAUUGAUUGCCUUUGCCUUCAACGCUGAAGAAGGGUUCAUACCCGAAACUCAUCCCAAUACAAAUAUGUCAAUUUAACUUAGUUUUUUUUUUUACCGGAGUGCUCUCCUAUUUCUGUUUCAUUUAUCAUUGGCCCACAAUACAAUAAUUUACUUAUCUUUCUCCAUUUAUAGCCUACUCCUUUGCAAUGUUUGUCUAGAUACAGCACUUCGUAGCGAUAGUCUACCACUUUUUUAAAAUAACGUUAGUAGUAAACAUUGUUAGGGGAACGCGAAGUUUAAACAUGACUUCGAGGUUUUGCUUCAGGACGGUGGGGAGCUCGAGACAUAGCCCAUGGACUGCACGGACCUAUGGAUACCCCCUAAGCUAAUAUCACAAGUGUAUUGUGAUAAUUAAUUCAUGCACUUGAAGUAGCCUACAUUGCUUAUCAAUAUUUUACAGAUUACAUAACUAACUUGUAAUUUAUUAUGAAACAUUGAAACAAAAACGGUUUUGGUCUGUAUAUCGUUAAGAAUAUGCAGGUCGGUGUCUUGGUUGUUGUUGUAAUUCAUCCCACAUUUUUUUUUUUAUAUUCAAAAGAUAUUGUAAGUCUAAUUCAGCAAAUCAGGAAAUUGAUGCAACGUGUGUCAUGUUUAAAAAUCAAAUAAAAAAUCCUGAACAUA
Oncorhynchus tshawytscha (Chinook salmon) is the source of this 1689-nucleotide long non-coding RNA. RefSeq lists it as uncharacterized. The record is from RefSeq and is a predicted model, not a curated record. The transcript has 3 exons. NCBI's taxonomy places the organism in Eukaryota, Metazoa, Chordata, Actinopteri, Salmoniformes, Salmonidae.